AAGCGGUGAUGACUUGUGCGCACAAGUGGUGAUUGGGUCACUACGCUUUGUCUGACAUAAUCGGACGAUCAACAGCGCAUCUGAGCUU
Molecule: small nucleolar RNA, 88 nt
Organism: Ipomoea triloba (trilobed morning glory)
Lineage: Eukaryota; Viridiplantae; Streptophyta; Magnoliopsida; Solanales; Convolvulaceae
Product: small nucleolar RNA snoR114
Exons: 1
Source: RefSeq, a predicted model, not a curated record